UCCUGCCCAGCUACAUCAGAUCAGCCAACAACUUUGUAAUUGCUAAAAACAGCCUGUUGAUUUUCCUCCUAAGUGCUUCAGCUGGCCUGGCUGAGCUUUCUCUUUUCCACUGUCUUGAGAUGUUUCUCUCAUUGUGCACUACGCCGUAUUUUUAUGGUCAACAUAUCCUAUAGCAAACAAUUUCAGGCUGAUGGCGGAAGGGAGAUUGGAUUCAGAUCGGAGAUUUGAGCCCCGGAUGGGGAGCCAGGAACGCCUCAGUUCCUGGACCAGAUCUGCCACUAAAUCAGGAAUCCACAUAAAGCAAAGCCACAUGACGAGCAACUGCAGGAUGAUUUGAUUUUUGUGUGCAGAGGAGGAAGCGAGUGUUUGAACACGGCUCUCGCCUUGGUGCGCCCGCUGCAACUGGAGCCGCCAUUACAGGGACUGAUCGAGGUGGAUGCAGUGGUCCCCGUCAGAUGUGUGCCAAAUUGAAAUGCCAGCAGCUGUGUGAGCAGCGGGAUAAUCGUAUCUGCUGCUUCUCUCUUCCAAGUCCUGGCAUUCCCAUUUCAGCAAUGGUGUGUCCAUGCUCAGCUCUGCGGGAGGAAAUCCAUUGACCGAAGCCAUGCUGACGCCUGGGGGAUGCGGUUACAUGUUCAUCAGUCACCUGUCUGACUGUGGACCCACUGGGAUGCAGAGCAAUAGGAGAGCAAUGGACUGUCCUCAAAGAGGGCCAUGAGCUGCACUGCCAGUGGGGAAGAACUGCUUCUGCUCAUCCGGGUAAUGUCGCUGUGUUGGCUGAAAAGUCUCCACUUGGUCCUGAGCGGUGCCACCUGCAGAUCCCUGCACCCACUGGAACAAAAUAAAAAGGUGUCGUAUGUGGUUUCAUGGCAGCAGGGAGGUGACAGCACACAUGGGCUGAGAAGCAGAAAUCCCCUUCAACAGCAGAGACUAUCUCUGCCAGCAGGUAGAGAAGAGGUUGUUUGUCUGAAGAAAGAAGGGUGUGGUGGAAAUACUUCAUGCCAGUCAAGUCAACCAAAAUACUACCUGAGUUACAAAGCAUGCUGGAAAACAAAAUUAAACAGAAGAUCUGGGCCCCACCUGUGCUCUCCCAGGAGAGACUGAGAGAAAAGGAGUUCUGGGAGCUGGGAACACACAGCUCCCUGCAGCAGCUGCACUAUGGAAUUCACCCUGGAUGAAUGGGAAUGCCAAUGUCUUCACCUCCUGAAGAGAGGACACAGCUCUCAGACUGAAUUAGCCACAGCUGGAUAGGUUGUUUUGAAAUCUCCACAAUUUUCAGACCUGGAAGAUUUUUCCAUCAUGCUGGCCUGGGGUAGGCAUUUGGUGGGUGAGUAAACUAUAAUUUGGUUUGUUUUGCCUUAUGAAGUAAGUGUAGAAAAUACACCAAAGUAGCUGGUCACAUAUUUGGACCUGGGCUUCUCACGAAAGUUCUGCAAAACCCUCUCAAAUGUCUGAAUAUUUACUAAGUAGGUCACGAAAUAUUUUCCAACAACAAAAAUACAAAUACAAAAAUACAAUAGAGUAAUCCUAUUGGGAUGUAGUUAUGUGCUAAUGACUUUAUUUUCUUCUUCCUCCUGUUCAGGCAGUAACAUGCAAAGUGACCACAGCACUGUUGUGAAAUUGCUGAUUAACCUUUUGACUCUGACAAUUGGGACUUCUCUUAACACCAAUUGGUAAUGCAAAAGACCAUUAGUAGUUAAUAUUGGGACACCCCACCUCCAGAUGCCAAAAGGUUAAUGAAAAAGCAAGUAUCUUGCUUUUACUGGGAAACUUGGAAACCUUCCCACCAAACAUUUCAUUUUUUGUGAUAAACAAGCCAGACCGCUUCAGCUGAGAAAGACGGGUGUUUUGCUAAUGUGUACAGCUGUUAAUUGAAAAAGAUUCUGUUAUGCCUGUUCUUCUGGACAUAGAUAAAAGAGAGAUUUGUUGGUGAACUUUAGUUGGUCCUGAACACCCCUUUGUCAAAAUACACUGCUCAAUAAUAACGCUUUGUUCUGUCUGUAACAGCCACGGAAGGAUUUUGAGUGGAAUACUCAUUUUCUUUAAGUCAUAUCUGCCAGUGAUCAUUCUUGGCUUAAGAUCAGCUGCCAUUUAUGUGUUUUAUGAAAAUAUAACACCAGUUUUAUGCUCAAAACUAUUCUUUUUUAGGUAAAAGCUUCAGCACAAACUGGUUCCCCAUAUGUACCAUAAAUGCUAUUUAUCACAGGUUUUGGUCUUUAAAACAGAAUGAUAAUGUUAAAACAUUUUCAUUACCCUUUCCUUACAGCUAUCAUUCACAAACCAUCUUUUAUAAUUAUGGUACUAGGACAUUUACAUAACUGGGAAAAAGGUCCUUAAACUACAUUUCUAUUAUGUUUGGCACUUGUGUGAAAGGAUAUUAUAUUCAUGUGCAUUAGAGAUUGCUUAUAAAAGAUCAAGACAAUAAUAGCAGAUCAGACGAUAAAGGUUCCCUUUUCUCCUCCCAGACAGGCUGUCUCUGACAGAAGAAUACAGUUCAUCAAAAGUGUCUGCAGGUUGUCAAACUCAGUGAGAUUUGGGGACACUCGGAGGCUGUCAUGGCCAACAAGAAGAUUUUCUGUAGGGUUCUGCCAUCAUUCACCCUCAGGAAAUAAUCACUCACUACAUUCUGCAUGCUCUCAUGAUAGAGCUCUAUUUGAGAGAAAAGAGCCAUUUUAUCAAAGGACAAUAUAUCCCUUCUCUUGGUCCAUGCAGCUUCCAUUAUCAGACCAUAAUAAAUCAUAUUUAUGUUCUCAGUUAAUAAGACUGAUUACAAUGCAGGUUACAGGCAUGGGAAAAGCAAAGCAGGUGAAAAGAUGUUUUAAUGAAAAUAUGAUAAGCAAACAGCUUCUUGUGAACAUUUCAGGCUGUUAUUUGUAAUGAUCACAGGCAAUUUUUGAUACAUCUUCUUUAGCAAUGGUUUAAGCUGCAUAAAUUGGCUUGCCACUUUAUACGUCGAAAUAGGAAGAAUCCCAGUGUCCUUCUUAUGUUGUCUAGAAUCAUUAUAUACAUUAUAAGCAUAAAAUGAGUUUAAUGUAUGUGCUUUGAAAAGAUGGGGAAAACAGAAAAUCAGGGAGGACUGAUUUUAAUGCUGCUCAAAAUGAUUUUGAAAUUUUCUGCACAUCUUUGUUACUAACGGUGCAUUUUCCAUGAAAUUUAGGGAUGACAUGUGGUGCUUUCAUCUCCUUAAAAUUAAUAUACUUCUCUUUCUGUUUUUCUCAGUUUCUUCAAAGUUCUUUUUAGAACACUGUGCAAAGAGACAGAGAGAAAAUUCUCCACUCGAUGUGUGAACAUAUCUGUUAUUAAUGCUGGGGGGGAGUUAAGUGUGUGCUUCUAGAGGAGAAUAUACCCCUGCGUUAAACACUGAAAUCAACCCUAUCAAAAAGGUGCAAGGAUAUUUAGCUGCAGCACACCUGAUGCAUUCAAGGGCCAAAUUCCUUAGAAUCUUUUAAAGUGAUCAAGAUCUCUUUUGUUAAGAGCGCUCCAAUGAUUUCAGAAUAUAACUGUACUUAAGUAGCCGAGGAAGUGUCUUGCUCUUGUCUCGUGAAAAGCUUUCUUUUAUGUUUUAUUGUUGUUUUCUUUUUUGCUGUAGUCAUUUGGUUUAUGUUUAGCAUCAUACUUUCAAGACAAAGUUAAAAAUUUAAAGAAUAAUUUCUUCCUGCUAGCAGAUAAUGCUGACUAAGUAUUUCAAAAUCUACAGCACUUGCAGAAUGCAAGCAUUAUGCUUAAAAUGUAUAUAAUGAUUCCAGACAAUAUGAGAAGGACACUGGGAUUCUUCCUACUUUGAUAUAUAAAGUGGUGAGCAAACGCAGAAGUCUCCAUGGUGUUGUGUGUCUGUAGGAGCUGUUCUGGUCACUGAUACUUCUAAAGCUCCCUUAAACAAAUGUUAAAGCUUUGUAAUGGGCCUGGCAAUGGAGAAUGACCAUGAAAUUCCCUUAACCCUUUUAGGGCACUUCAGCAGGAGAAGUGAUCACACAAGAAACAGUAAACUGCGCUUCAAAGGCAGCAUCCUGAUAUGACAACAGAUGUAGAUAAUGCACUUCAUGAUGAAACUGCUUGAUACAGAGAAAAACACGUUGUAACUGCCUUCACCCUGAAAGGGGUUUAAAAAUGCUGCCUGCCAACUCCACAAAAAACAGAGCUGCUAUUUCAGUUAAAGGCCAGUGGAUUGUAUUUUUCGUGUCAGUUUUCACUAACCUCAAACAUCACUGUUAUGACAGACUGUCAUCCAACCAAGCCAGCACUGUGGUGCCAUUCAGGCAAGAAAGAAGAAAGCAAACACAAAGGAAACUUAGAAGUCCGAGCAGUAAGAGCGGGUGUCUGUGAGUGCACUUUUGUGCAGCGAUACUGAUUACUGAAAAUGAAACACUUAAAAGAAAACAAACCCAAAAAAGUGAUUUCUGAGCCAUUGGUGUUUUCUUGCCUGGCAAUUUCUCUUUGUUCUGUUUCAUGACAUCAGCCUCAGUGGUUGAAAGGGUGUUCUGGGCCAGAUGUCAAUCACUAUGUCUGACAUAAACAAAAAUAGCUAAAAAGACAUGCCAGCAUCUUCCUUUUGUUUUCCCAUUAGCUCCAUUUUUCUUUUCAGAGGCUGACAAAAAAUUACUGCCUCCGAGUGAAUUCAGUAAUGUCACUAUAUAUCUAAUAUCUAGGAGACCUUUUGUUUUAGCUUUACUGGGCUUAACCACAAAAGACACUUGACAUUGACAAAGAGUCUGUCAAAUACACAAUGAUCAGUGCAGUGAAAUCUCUCAUGACAGAAGGGCACUAUUCUGCACCCCCAGCCUGCAGCAGCCUAUCUGAGUAAAAUGUGCUGGAGCACAUGCAGCAGCUGAACCAUUGCAGAGCAGGCCAUAAGCUGAGAUGUGUCUUGUUUAAAGUGUCAUAGUAUAUUAGUGUAAUUAAAACCGCCAAAAGAAUAGAAAAGAUAGAUGGAAAUGUUACAUUACUUGUUUCUAGAGAUUAACCUCCAGCCAGAACUGAAAUACAGGGACACAUUUUGCAUGUCUUAGAGCUCUGAUAUGGAAGAAAACAAGCCUGAGUGUAUGUCUCUUGAAGUGUGAGACAUGAAGUCAUAGUUCCUGUAUUUACACAAUAAAGCAGAAACAGCGCUUCAGACAGGCACGCUGUUUUCUCUCUGAUUACAGCUCCCGUUGUGGCUGUACUCUGCAAAGCAGCUGUAUCAUCUCUCAGCUACUUCCCUUUUACUCUCACUGCCUUCGUGCUUGGAAGGUCUUGAGGACCCUUGGGCCAACAGAUGUGCUGGUGUCAAUGCCUUCUGCUCCCUUGGCAUCUGCCAGCAUUGCGUGGGCCCAGCCUAGAGGCAGAGCACCCUGUCCCUGUGGUGUCUGCAGAAGACACAGCUCAGCUCCAGACUCAGCAACACCCAGCUAGGAAGAUGUUUGAAGAAUGGCUUCAGUCUGACCUUUAUAUACCAGGCUGCAUGCUUGCUUCUCUGUUGACUCUAUAGAUAAAACUGCAUGGCUUUCUGAAAUUGACUCUGAAAAUUAUGUUCCCAGAACUGCAUGUUUUCCUUCCCAUGCCUCAUUACCUGUGAUAACUAUUCAAGCCUAACUAGUUACGAUCUCUGUUCUAACCAUGAGGCAAGUUAUAUCUGGUGGUGAAAAACCCUUGGAGUUUUUAUGGACCUGUUCAGCUGUGUUGGCUGAACGUUGGUUUAUCCAGUAUCUGGAGAGGACCUCAUCUGGCUUCAGCAGUUCUGAAGCAUACAAAAGCAGCGUGGUUUUCUUCUAAUGUAAGCCUUACAUUCAAGGAGAAGAUGCAUUAAUCAGAUUCAUCUCAGUGACUGUGAAAUUCCUGAGGAUGUUAUUACUUUCAAGUCAGAUUAACGGAGUAAUUUCCAGUUACCACCUGUGAAGAGAUUCCUACCUAUCCUGGCAGGCAAUUGUUCAGUCUUAUUGAGCUUCAAAUAACUUUACAGCUUGAAAUUCUGAGGAUCUUCUCUGUUAUCUUCUGUUCGUUAUAUUCAUUUGAAGAUAUUUUGGAGAAAACAUGGAACUCGAGAGCAUUCAGGAGAACCCUGCUCGUGCCUCCGAAUGGCUGAGGACAGGGAAUGAGUUUUGCUGUGACAGUAAAUGUGGAGGAACCUCAUUGCUCAAAAUUCAAUUCAGCAUUUUUAUUUAUUUUUUUUUAAAUAGUGCUGCAAAGGAGGAAAAAGAAAAGGACAAGUUUUUGUUUCUGAUAUGAAUGUCCCUGCUUUGUCCAGAGGAACCACGGCUGCCAUCUGUGGCUCGUGAUAGUGACUGUGCUCUGUGCUAUGGAGAAAGGGACCAGAAGCAGCUAGAGCAGGAGAAGAAAUAACACUGUGUGAACAAAGACUUUAGCUGAGGCAAAUUUACUUCCCUGAGAAUUAGCCGGGGUAUCUCUCCAUGACACACUUACUUUAGAAUCACAGCAUGUUGCAGUUAUUAGACUCUGGCAGGCUCCUAGGUAGGAACCGUGUCCAAGAGCCUUUAUUUCAUCUGCUCCAAUUGAGAAGAGUGUGGCAGUUUCUUUUGGUUGAGCCUUGCUAUAACGAUCUGAGCUUUAGUCACCGUGAGGCUAGCACACUGCAAAGCAUUCAGCUGGUGUUACAACCAGAGACAACUGAGCUCCAAGAGUGAGUGCAGACUGUGUCUAUCUACUUAUUAAGUGACGGGUCAUGUGGAGUGCCCAUUACCCAGUAAUUGGUGCUAGCUGCCAGUUAGCAUUCAGCAGGACUUGGAGCAUUUGUAUAGCCCUUACAGACCAGAGUGGCCUGGGAUUGUUCUUGCCUUAUUUGCUGCAACUGUAAUCAGAUUGGUGGCUCUCUGCUUCUCAGAUCUACCAAACUCAAACUGAAGGGCACGGGGGAGUGUGGGAUCUCUGCAGGGAGUUCAGUCAGAGGGACACCUGGGUGUCAGGGCUCUGUGGUAAGGCUGCAGUCCAAUGGCCCCGCUGCUCUCCUUGGCUUGCAGGUUCCUUCCAUGCACCACAGGAGGAGAGGGAAAGGAUGGAAUCUGUGGUAGGUGACACAAUGCCUGCCCGAUCUUGCACAGCUCUAAGUCCUUAAAGAUGAGACCCUCUAGUGUUUUCUGGCCUCACAGAGCCCACAGGCAGCACUCAGGUGAGGAGUUCAGAGACACAGAGAUGGGGAGGUCUUUCCAGAAGGAACUGCAUAGGCAGACACACACACAUAUCGCUGUGUAAGGUACAUGCUGCAUGCAGCUUUGGUUUGGGGAGCCCUUUUGUUCUCAGGCUGCCAACUGCGGGCACUGCUGUGAAUUGCAGCAGGCUGUGGGGGAAGGAGGAGGAAAGUGCCGGCAGUCCUGUGGGUCAGCGCGGGGAGCGAUGACCUCGGCGCACGCGGGAGCAGGACGGGGCUCUUUUCACACCAUUACUUCCCGGGAUUUUACAGUUCUUUUUUUAAAAUUCCAAAGCAGAGCGGCACGAGGCCCAGAGGUUAGCAAGGUGGUGGUUGAGCGGAGUGCUCUCUGCAGUCCCGCGGCCGCGGAACCCCCGCUCUGCGCCGCGCCGGCCCCGGCAG
Molecule: long non-coding RNA, 7516 nt
Organism: Gallus gallus (chicken)
Lineage: Eukaryota; Metazoa; Chordata; Aves; Galliformes; Phasianidae
Source: Ensembl